Molecule: ribosomal RNA, 1508 nt
Filed under: uncultured bacterium
Lineage: Bacteria
Description: 16S ribosomal RNA
Rfam family: Bacterial small subunit ribosomal RNA
Source: RNAcentral
UAGAGUUUGAUCCUGGCUCAGGAUGAACGCUGGCGGCGUGCCUAAUACAUGCAAGUCGAACGGGAGGCAACACUUCGGUGUUGCCAAGAGUGGCGGACGGGUGAGGAACACGUAGCUGACCUGCCGUUGGUUGGGGGAUAACACCGGGAAACCGGUGCUAAAACCGCGUACGCUCAUUGGGGUUAGAGACCCGGUGAGGAAAACGAUGAGUGACCAACGAGGGGGCUGCGGGCCAUCAGGUAGUUGGUGAGGUAAUGGCUCACCAAGCCAGCGACGGCUAGGGGACCUGAGAGGGUGACCCCCCACACUGGAACUGAGACACGGUCCAGACUCCUACGGGAGGCAGCAGUAAGGGAUAUUGCACAAUGGGCGCAAGCCUGAUGCAGCAACGCCGCGUGCAGGAAGAAGGGCUUCGGCUCGUAAACUGCUUUUCUGCGGGACGAUAAUGACGGUACCGCAGGAAGAAGUCUCGGCUAACUACGUGCCAGCAGCCGCGGUAAAACGUAGGAGGCGAGCGUUAUCCGGAUUUACUGGGCGUAAAGGGCGUGCAGGUGGCUUGCUAAGUGGUGCGUGAAAGCGCCCGGCUCAACCGGGCGAGGCCGUGCCAAACUGGCAGACUAGAAACAGGCAGAGGAAAGUGGAAUUCGGGGUGUAGUGGUGAAAUGCGUAAGAUCCCCGGAGGGAACUUCCUUGUGGCCGAAGGCGACCUUUCCUGGGCCCUGGCUUUUGACACCUCACACGCGAAAGCAUGGGGAGCGACGGGAAUAGAACCCGGGAGUCCAAUGCCGUAAAACGAUGUCCAACUGGGGCGUUUUGUCCCGCAAGGGAUGAGUGCCGCAGCUAACGCGCUAAGUGGACCGGCCUGGGGAGUACGACCGCAAGGUUAAAACUCAAAGGAAUUGACGGGGGCCCGCACAAGCAGCGGAGCGUGUGGUUUAAUUCGAGGCUACACGAAGACCUUACCCAGGUUUGACAUAGGCGUGGUAGGGAACCGAAAGGGGACCGACCUUCGGGAGCGUCUACAGGUGCUGCAUGGCUGUCGUCAGCUCGUGUCGUGAGAUGUUCGGUUAAGUCCGGUAACGAGCGCAACCCUCGCCGUCAGUUACAUGUGUCUGGCGGGACUGCCCGGAGGAACUGGGAGGAAGGUGGGGAUGACGUCAAGUCAGCAUGGCCUUUAUAUCUGGGGCGACACACACGCUACAAUGGUCGGUACAAUGGGCAGCCAAGUCGCGAGACGGAGCCAAUCCAAUCAAAACCGGCCUCAGUUCGGAUUGCAGGCUGCAACUCGCCUGCAUGAAGUCGGAGUUGCUAGUAAACGCGCAUCAGCCAUGGCGCGUUGAAUACGUUCCCGGGCCUUGUACACACCGCCCGUCACGUCAUGGGAGCUGGUCACGCCUGAAGCCGGUGGGCAAACCUUACGGAUGCAGCCGUCAAAGGCAGGGCUGGUGACUGGGACGAAGUCGUAACAAGGUAGCUGUAGCGGAAGCUGCGGCUGGAUCACCUCCUUA